GUAUUUUGUUUCUUUCUGCUCUCGCGAGCAUACUAGAUACAUGACAUUCUAAUGACAUACAUUGGGGUGUGUAAAAAAACAUAGAGCUUCACUUUCGCAAAGCCCUACUAAAAGUUCACAGGGGUAAAAUGGAUGAGUAGGAAAUGCCCGUGCACAUGUCCCUAAAGACCAGCACUUGACAAUCCUUCAAAUCGUUAAUGAUCCUUCCGCAGGUUCACCUACGGAAA
Molecule: unclassified non-coding RNA, 227 nt
Filed under: uncultured fungus
Lineage: Eukaryota; Fungi
Description: sequence contains ITS1
Source: RNAcentral